RNAcentral lists this ribosomal RNA (388 nucleotides) under uncultured Streptococcus sp. Its description in RNAcentral is "bacterial SSU rRNA". It matches the Rfam family "Bacterial small subunit ribosomal RNA", at positions 992 to 1382 of the family's 1533-position model. The record is from RNAcentral. Lineage: Bacteria; Bacillati; Bacillota; Bacilli; Lactobacillales; Streptococcaceae.
AUGCUAUUCUAGAGAUAGAAGUUACUUCGGUACAUCGGUGACAGGUGGUGCAUGGUUGUCGUCAGCUCGUGUCGUGAGAUGUUGGGUUAAGUCCCGCAACGAGCGCAACCCCUAUUGUUAGUUGCCAUCAUUCAGUUGGGCACUCUAGCGAGACUGCCGGUAAUAAACCGGAGGAAGGUGGGGGAUGACGUCAAAUCAUCAUGCCCCUUAUGACCUGGGCUACACACGUGCUACAAUGGUUGGUACAACGAGUUGCGAGUCGGUGACGGCGAGCUAAUCUCUUAAAGCCAAUCUCAGUUCGGAUUGUAGGCUGCAACUCGCCUACAUGAAGUCGGAAUCGCUAGUAAUCGCGGAUCAGCACGCCGCGGUGAAUACGUUCCCGGGCCUU